Long non-coding RNA from Heterocephalus glaber (naked mole-rat), 1237 nucleotides. Lineage: Eukaryota; Metazoa; Chordata; Mammalia; Rodentia; Bathyergidae. The record is from Ensembl.
ACACAGUGCUUUGGAGCCAGCUGAGGUUCAGUGAGAUCAUGAGGGUGGGGGCCCGGUCCCACAGGACUGCUGUCCUUAGGAGGCACCGGAGCGCUCACUGCCGUCCUCCCCAGCGCAGGAAGGUGACUGUCCACGAGCCAAAAAGAGAGGUCACCAGAUCCAGAACCCGCCAGCUCCUUGAGCUCGGACUCCCGGCCCCAAGCUGCGAGUUUCUUGAUCUCUAAGAAGGAUGCCAGGGCAGACUGAUCAGCCCUGGAAGCCGGAGGCUGAAGAACAAGUGGAAAGCAGAACUGUGGUUGAGGAACAGGGCUGGAGGUCCAGUGGAGGGCGCAGUGGCCUCUGUCCAUCAAUUUUCCACUCAAUUCCUUCUCCAGGAGAACCUCUAGCCGGAUCUGAAUGGAAUGGUCACUCAUUUAGUUAGUCAACAAACAUGCGUUGCCCUGCCAGAUAGCACCUGGGCCGGGUGCUGUGAUGCAGCAAGGAAAGUGCUUGGGUCCCCACCAAGAUUCACACCACUCAGGCCAUCACUGUGCUGAAUGAAAGGCUUCCCAGUGGGUAGCGGGAAAGAAGCCUGGUCGUCAGACAGACCUUGUCAGCUGGAGACACUGGGCAAGCCACGCAUGUGCCCCAAGUUCUUUCUUCUUCUUUUUGUAAAUCUUUUUUUUUUUUGGUAUCGGGGAUUGAACUUGGGUCCUUGCGCUUGCGCAGCAGGCAGCGAAACCACUGAGCUAAAUCCCCGGCCCUUCUUUUUGUAAAUCUUUCUUUUUUUUGGUACCGGGGAUUGAACUCGGGUCCUUGUGCUUGCGAGGCAGGCGACGGAACCACUGAGCUAAAUCCCUGGCCUUUCUUUUCGUAAAUCUUAAAAAUGACCCUGAUUAAAAAAAAAAAAUGACCCUGCUAUCCAUCUUUGGGUCAGCAAUUCUCAAACAUUUUGGUCUCAGGAAACCUUUACAUGCUUAAGAAUUAUUGAGAACCACUAUCUCCCACUAUUUACCACAUAAAUAAUUGAAACUGAGCCAUGUGUUGGCCCACGCCUGUAAUCCCAGCUGUUCAGGAGACUGAGGCAGGGGGAUCACAAUUUCAAGGUCAGGUCGGGGCAACUUAGCCAGACUCCGGCUCAAAAAAAAAAAAUAAAAAAGGGCUGUGGGGUGCAGCUGUGGUAGAGCACCUAUGAGUUUGAUCCUCAGUACCACAAAGAUAAAUGAAUGAAUAAAUGAAUAAGUAAAUAAAACCUGAU